RNAcentral lists this ribosomal RNA (450 nucleotides) under uncultured bacterium. RNAcentral's name for it is "partial 16S ribosomal RNA". It matches the Rfam family "Bacterial small subunit ribosomal RNA", at positions 28 to 523 of the family's 1533-position model. The record is from RNAcentral.
AACGAACGCUGGCGGCAUGCCUAACACAUGCAAGUCGAGCGCCUGUAGCAAUACAGGAGCGGCGCACGGGUGAGUAACGCGUGGGAACCUGCCCUUAGGUUCGGAACAACCGCGGGAAACUGCGGCUGAUACCGGAUGAUGUCUUCGGACCAAAGAUUUAUCGCCUUUGGAGGGGCCCGCGUCGGAUUAGGUAGCUGGUGAGGUAACGGCUCACCAAGCCUGCGAUCCGUAGCUGGUCUGAGAGGAUGACCAGCCACACUGGACUGAGACACGGCCCAGACUCCUACGGGAGGCAGCAGUGGGGAGUAUUGGACAAUGGGGGCAACCCUGAUCCAGCAAUGCCGCGUGGGUGAUGAAGGCCUUCGGGUUGUAAAGCCCUUUCGGCGGGGACGAUGAUGACGGUACCCGCAGAAGAAGCCCCGGCUAACUUCGUGCCAGCCGCCGCCGUAA